This is a long non-coding RNA of Heterocephalus glaber (naked mole-rat), 1641 nucleotides long. The record is from Ensembl. NCBI's taxonomy places the organism in Eukaryota, Metazoa, Chordata, Mammalia, Rodentia, Bathyergidae.
CAGCCCUUGGUGCCAAAAUGAGAGUGCUGUGCUUUUUUCCUGCUGAGUCCGCUGGCUCCCCUCCAUGGAGAAAAAUCCAAGGAAGGCUGCACUAUAAAGUUGUAGAGUCUGUAAAAAAGACGAAUCUGGCAGACACAGCCAGUCUUUGUCAUCACCCAAAACACCUAGUUACUUCCCUUGUCAGUGCCCUUCAAGGGCUCUGAGUUGAUCCCCAACAUAACUUCAAGUCCCUAACAUCCUAACAACUUCCCAGACUCGGGGCUCAACCCAGAGCCAUCCUGCCAGCACUCACUCUCUACUCUGCUGGAUCUGCUAACUCUGCCAAACUGCUUCCUCCUCAUCUCUGGCCUCCGGUGCUUUGCUGAGUGAGAUCCUAAUCUUCUUCAGGCUCAGCUCAAACACCACCUCUACAACGCCUGCCCAGGUUCUCCCCUUCCUCCAGACUCCGUAUGCUUACCGUAUGCCAACCCUUCCCCUUGGCACCUUCUAUUACAUCUCUCAUGAUAUAUACCCUAAUAAACUACUGUUUUCUGAGUUCCUCAUCCGUGCUAGGCACCGUGGUAAACCCUUUAAUAUACGGUGUGUCGUUUUACUCCUUCUAGCCACCCUGUGAGGGCGGUAUCAUCCCACUUUACAGAACUCGCCUAAGUUCGGCAACCGGGUUUGCAACUCUGCGAUUCCGGCGCUGCACAGAAGGUGGCCUACAACGGAGGUGGCGGAACUUUGCGUGUGUGCACGAGGCCUGGAGAUGAAAUGGAGGACUUGGCCUGACGCCAGGUAGUCACUGCUGAGGACCCCAACAACUCUGAACACCUGCGGGCUCUGUUAAGGUCCCAGGGAAAAAUGCAAGCGCUUCGGGGUCAGUUUGUGAUCCACAGAGCUGCGAAGACAGGCGUGACUUGUUUUGAUUCUCCUCUAAAAGCGUUCACCAUUAGAAUUACUGGAAAGGCUGUACAGAGACUCGUGAGCAGAGUUACCAGUAACUCUAAGACCAGCGUACCACAGGAAUUUCCAGAACUCCGUGAAGAGGCCGAAGGCUCGCCAAGUGCCAGCGCAACUUGGAAGAGGAACUAAGGAAGGAGACUGAGUCAACGAGUGAAACCAUGGGUUUUCUGCCCUUUACUUGAAAGAUUACUUUUUUGUUGUUGUUUUCUAGAUUUAAAGCUUCUGAAGCUAUCUACAGCUUACAGUAAUUUGAUAAAAAUAUACUUUUGUAAACAGGUGGGAAUAAUUUACUUUUCCCUCCCUGCUUAAUUCCUCUCAAAUUAAAAACCUUAUUCAUAUUUUUAACAGCAGUGUGGUUAUUUGCAUAAGCUCAGUAAGAAUCUGUUCUCUUUAAAAUAGACUGCAAGGGGAAAUGCUGGCCGAUCUGAAAGCAUUCCAGGGUGCCUGGCUCCAAGGGUCCCCAGCCUUGUAUGCAAAAAACCCAUGGCCCCUGCAGGCCUGGAGCCCGGCACAUGAAGUGUAUACCCAGGGCAUCCCGUCUGCUCUCCAGCCACCACAGGUUUCUGUUUUUUUUUUUUUUGUACCAGGGACCAAACUCUGGACCUUGUGCUUGCAAGGCAGGCGAUGGAACCACUGAGCUAAAUCCCAGGCACCUCCAGAGGUUUCUAAGUCCGAGGUUACUCCACAGCAAAUCUC